GCCGGGGUGGCCGAGCGGUUCUAGGCGCUACAGUUUGGAACUGCGCGCAGGUUCGAAUCCUGCCUCCGGCA
This is a non-coding RNA of Schistocerca cancellata (South American locust), 71 nucleotides long. The record is from the annotation of a RefSeq genome assembly. Lineage: Eukaryota; Metazoa; Arthropoda; Insecta; Orthoptera; Acrididae.